Mya arenaria is the source of this 356-nucleotide long non-coding RNA. RefSeq lists it as uncharacterized. The transcript has 3 exons. The record is from RefSeq and is a predicted model, not a curated record. Lineage: Eukaryota; Metazoa; Mollusca; Bivalvia; Myida; Myidae.
AAGAAACCAGAUUGGAAAUUUUUAUUCAGAAAUGCAAUCCACACAUUUAAGCACCGUUUGUCUAACGUACCAGCCAGCUAUGGUAGCCUCCGCAGAUAGAUCAAAGACACAUAUACCCGGGCAAGUUAAAUAGAAGCACUUCCGGCGGUGGACAGUCGUAAAACAACACCUUAACUACUAAGAAGUGACAUCACGCCGAUAGCAAUAAGGCUACGUCUACUUGAUUUGACUUACAGUGUCACUUGACCUCCUUGUAAGGGGCUCCGAUAAGUACGCAGAAGCAGACGAUAAUAAUACAAAGGUUAUACUUAACAAUCAGAUUAAAAAAAUGCAUGGGACAUGUUAAAACAUAGCAA